GGCCCAAACUCCUACGGGAGGCAGCAGUAGGGAAUCUUGCACAAUGGAGGAAACUCUGAUGCAGCGAUGCCGCGUGAGUGAAGAAGGCCCUUGGGUUGUAAAGCUCUUUCGUCGGGGAAGAAAAUGACUGUACCCGAAUAAGAAGGUCCGGCUAACUUCGUGCCAGCAGCCGCGGUAAUACGAAGGGACCUAGCGUAGUUCGGAAUUACUGGGCUUAAAGAGUUCGUAGGUGGUUAAAAAAGUUGGUGGUGAAAGCCCAGAGCUUAACUCUGGAAUUGCCAUCAAAACUUUUUAGCUAGAGUUUGAUAGAGGAAAGCAGAAUUUCUAGUGUAGAGGUGAAAUUCGUAGAUAUUAGAAAGAAUACCGAUUGCGAAGGCAGCUUUCUGGAUCAUUACUGACACUGAGGAACGAAAGCAUGGGUAGCGAAGAGGAUUAGAUACCCUCGUAGUCCAUGCCGUAAACGAUGUGUGUUAGAUGUUGGAAAUUUAUUUUCAGUAUCACAGCGAAAGCAAUAAACACACCGCCUGGGGAGUACGACCGCAAGGUUAAAACUCAAAUGAAUUGACGGGGACCCGCACAAGUAGUGGAGCAUGUGGUUUAAUUCGAAGAUACGCGCAGAACCUUACCAACACUUGACAUGUUCGUCGCGACUCUAAGAGAUUAGAGUUUUCGGUUCGGCCGGACGAAACACAGGUGCUGCAUGGCUGUCGUCAGCUCGUGUCGUGAGAUGUUGGGUUAAGUCCCGCAACGAGCGCAACCCUUACUUUUAGUUGCCAUCAUUUAGUUGGGCACUCUGAAAGAACUGCCAGUGAUAAGCUGGAGGAAGGUGGGGAUGACGUCAAGUCCUCAUGGCCCUUACGUGUUGGGCUACACACGUGCUACAAUGGCAUUUACAAUAGGAGGCAAGAUGGCGACAUCAAGCAGAUCCUAAAAAA
Molecule: ribosomal RNA, 935 nt
Filed under: marine metagenome
Description: bacterial SSU rRNA
Rfam family: Bacterial small subunit ribosomal RNA
Source: RNAcentral